Numida meleagris (helmeted guineafowl) is the source of this 1933-nucleotide RNA transcript. It is a transcript of the gene named MORN repeat containing 5, with no coding region annotated. The record is from RefSeq and is a predicted model, not a curated record. The transcript is spliced from 6 exons. NCBI's taxonomy places the organism in Eukaryota, Metazoa, Chordata, Aves, Galliformes, Numididae.
AUGCGCAUGCGGCGGGGGGCGGGGCUGUGCGUGCCCGCUGCUCUCCCUAGGCGGCGGUGUUGCCAUGGCGACCGCGCCGCGCAGCGCCGCCAUGGAGGUGACGGGCAGCCGCUACUGCGGCGGCACCGUGCGCGGCAGGAUGGAGGGAUGGGGCUCCUACACGUUGCCCACCGGCACCGAGUACCGCGGCGAGCUGCGGGACGGCACGUUCCACGGGCGGGGCGCGCUGCUGUUCCCCGGCGGCGGCACGUACCAGGCGGUGUGGCACCGCGGGGUGCCCGUGGAGGGGAAGUUCACUUUUGCAGACGGCCUCGAAUACGCGGCUGAAAGGUGGCAUUACUGCGACGGCUACGACAGGAGGUUCUACACCGAGAUCUGCUCUGGGCUCAGACCCGCAGGCAUUUCUCAGCUUACAAAUCUGGAUCCUCCCAGAAAUAUCCCAGAAGGAUGUUACGACUGUGGUGAUGGAUUCUAUAAUCCUAAAACCAGAAUUGUCAUUGACUACAAGCUGAGGUUUCUGAGAAAUGCAGGAAAGGAAUGGCAGUAAGGUGUUCAGCUCUGAUCCUGAAAACUGGCACGCCAUGUUGUGAACCAGCACAGAGCUUAAGCAUCUGCUUAUCUUUAAGGAUGAUGAGGAGCACGAGUGGAUCAUCCGGACCUGCCGGAAAGCUGAGGAGGGAGCACCAGGGCAGAAACCUAGCCCAUGAAAAUUGGUUUUGCCAGACAAUAAUAUUCCAGAGUAGGUAAUCUGACUGACAGUUAGUCUAAUUUGUCACUGGGUCUCAUAUCACCCUUUCCUUCUACGGGAAUAUAAUCUUUUUGUCAUCUUUGUCAGCAUAAACAAAAAUGGAAAUAAUCACUUAAUCAGUCCUGCUGAGAAAAAGCCAUGAAAAAAAGCAGACUGCUCUCACAGCAAUGUUCCUGAGAGGUGUGUGCUGUGGUACACAUACACGUUAUUAAGCUUGAAAACAAUUUGUUAAAAAGAGUGCCUCAGAUUCAGUGUUGAAGUCAUUCAAAUCCAUCUUAAUCAACAUUAUUUUCCCAGAUUUUAGUUAGCUGUCCUGGUGAAUUCCUUUCCUCUCUUUUUGCUCAGUACUUUGAUAUUGAUUGAUCAUUGUAAUAAUGUACACCAGAGGUAUUCUUUAAUGACUGGUUUGCUAACUAGGAAAUUAUAUCCAUUUACUACGAACAUUUGUUGAACUCUCCUGAAGCCAGAGUUUAACAAAAUAAUAAAAGAGGAAAACUGGGUGGGUUGCUGCUUGAUUAGUAAGCCAGAAAGUAUUUAAAAAAUAAAAUAAAAUGGAAUUACAUCAUUUUCUGGAUGUAAGUGCCAGCACUUCUACUUGCAUUAACUUUAUUUAUUACACAAAUAAGACAUUUACAAAGCACAACAUUAAAAGUAUGUAACAAAACAGACAUUGGUUUUACAAAAAAGUGCUUACAAUUUAGUUUUAAUUUUUAAAAUAAAUAUUAGUCUUGACUGUCCACUCAUUCAGAGAAUUUUUUAACCAUUGUAGCCAAGACAUGCAUAAUUGCAACAUGCUACAACAAAAUGAUUGGCUGACGAAACAAAACCAAUGUGUCUAUAGUUGGCAUCCUACAGAUGUGUCACUGAUAGCAGUGCAGGAUUGAGUCCCACUCCCCGUCCAACCAGUGAGUUGUGUAAGCACCUUUAGCUAGGCAAUGGGUUAACCAGCAUGAGCCAAAAUAAAAAAUAAUUGGUAAUAAUCCUGUAAACCGUUCCUCUUUCAGACCCUCACCAUAUUUAGUUACCUCAUUCAACUUGAGUGAAAAGCCUUUCACUGCCUGUCUUCACUGGAAUUUUGUCUGCAAAAGUUUUGUAAAUAGCAACUGCAGAAGUUUGGUACAUGGAGUCUACGUUGCUGCACUAGAACCCAUUUGGCAAUUACUGAAUAAACUAAGAAAAUGAGAA